Molecule: ribosomal RNA, 253 nt
Filed under: uncultured bacterium
Lineage: Bacteria
Description: partial 16S ribosomal RNA
Rfam family: Bacterial small subunit ribosomal RNA
Source: RNAcentral
UACGAAGGGGGCUAGCGUUGCUCGGAUUUACUGGGCGUAAAGGGCGCGUAGGCGGACAGUUAAGUCGGGGGUGAAAGCCCGGGGCUCAACCUCGGAAUUGCCUUCGAUACUGGCUGUCUUGAGUGUGAGAGAGGUGUGUGGAACUCCGAGUGUAGAGGUGAAAUUCGUAGAUAUUCGGAAGAACACCAGUGGCGAAGGCGACACACUGGCUCACUACUGACGCUGAGGCGCGAAAGCGUGGGGAGCAAACAGG